GAGUGGCGAACGGGUGAGUAAUAUAUCGGAACGUACCCUAGAGUGGGGGAUAACGCAGCGAAAGUUGCGCUAAUACCGCAUACGAUCUACGGAUGAAAGCGGGGGAUCGCAAGACCNNNNNCUCAUGGAGCGGCCGAUAUCUGAUUAGCUAGUUGGUGGGGUAAAGGCCUACCAAGGCAUCGAUCAGUAGCUGGUCUGAGAGGACGACCAGCCACACUGGAACUGAGACACGGUCCAGACUCCUACGGGAGGCAGCAGUGGGGAAUUUUGGACAAUGGGGGCAACCCUGAUCCAGCAAUGCCGCGUGAGUGAAGAAGGCCUUCGGGUUGUAAAGCUCUUUUGUCAGGGAAGAAACGGUGAGGGCUAAUAUCCUUUGCUAAUGACGGUACCUGAAGAAUAAGCACCGGCUAACUACGUGCCAGCAGCCGCGGUAAUACGUAGGGUGCAAGCGUUAAUCGGAAUUACUGGGCGUAAAGCGUGCGCAGGCGGUUAUGUAAGUCAGAUGUGAAAUCCCCGGGCUCAACCUGGGAAUGGCAUUUGAGACUGCAUGGCUAGAGUGUGUCAGAGGGGGGUAGAAUUCCACGUGUAGCAGUGAAAUGCGUAGAGAUGUGGAGGAAUACCGAUGGCGAAGGCAGCCCCCUGGGAUAACACUGACGCUCAUGCACGAAAGCGUGGGGAGCNNNCAGGAUUAGAUACCCUGGUAGUCCACGCCCUAAANNNUGUCUACUAGUUGUCGGGACUUAANNNUCUUGGUA
RNAcentral lists this ribosomal RNA (755 nucleotides) under uncultured bacterium. Its description in RNAcentral is "bacterial SSU rRNA". It matches the Rfam family "Bacterial small subunit ribosomal RNA", at positions 93 to 845 of the family's 1533-position model. The record is from RNAcentral.